Molecule: ribosomal RNA, 2902 nt
Filed under: Escherichia coli
Lineage: Bacteria; Pseudomonadati; Pseudomonadota; Gammaproteobacteria; Enterobacterales; Enterobacteriaceae
Description: bacterial LSU rRNA
Rfam family: Bacterial large subunit ribosomal RNA
Source: RNAcentral
UUAAGCGACUAAGCGUACACGGUGGAUGCCCUGGCAGUCAGAGGCGAUGAAGGACGUGCUAAUCUGCGAUAAGCGUCGGUAAGGUGAUAUGAACCGUUAUAACCGGCGAUUUCCGAAUGGGGAAACCCAGUGUGAUUCGUCACACUAUCAUUAACUGAAUCCAUAGGUUAAUGAGGCGAACCGGGGGAACUGAAACAUCUAAGUACCCCGAGGAAAAGAAAUCAACCGAGAUUCCCCCAGUAGCGGCGAGCGAACGGGGAGGAGCCCAGAGCCUGAAUCAGUGUGUGUGUUAGUGGAAGCGUCUGGAAAGGCGCGCGAUACAGGGUGACAGCCCCGUACACAAAAAUGCACAUAUUGUGAGCUCGAUGAGUAGGGCGGGACACGUGGUAUCCUGUCUGAAUAUGGGGGGACCAUCCUCCAAGGCUAAAUACUCCUGACUGACCGAUAGUGAACCAGUACCGUGAGGGAAAGGCGAAAAGAACCCCGGCGAGGGGAGUGAAAAAGAACCUGAAACCGUGUACGUACAAGCAGUGGGAGCCUCUUUUAUGGGGUGACUGCGUACCUUUUGUAUAAUGGGUCAGCGACUUAUAUUCUGUAGCAAGGUUAACCGAAUAGGGGAGCCGAAGGGAAACCGAGUCUUAACUGGGCGUUAAGUUGCAGGGUAUAGACCCGAAACCCGGUGAUCUAGCCAUGGGCAGGUUGAAGGUUGGGUAACACUAACUGGAGGACCGAACCGACUAAUGUUGAAAAAUUAGCGGAUGACUUGUGGCUGGGGGUGAAAGGCCAAUCAAACCGGGAGAUAGCUGGUUCUCCCCGAAAGCUAUUUAGGUAGCGCCUCGUGAAUUCAUCUCCGGGGGUAGAGCACUGUUUCGGCAAGGGGGUCAUCCCGACUUACCAACCCGAUGCAAACUGCGAAUACCGGAGAAUGUUAUCACGGGAGACACACGGCGGGUGCUAACGUCCGUCGUGAAGAGGGAAACAACCCAGACCGCCAGCUAAGGUCCCAAAGUCAUGGUUAAGUGGGAAACGAUGUGGGAAGGCCCAGACAGCCAGGAUGUUGGCUUAGAAGCAGCCAUCAUUUAAAGAAAGCGUAAUAGCUCACUGGUCGAGUCGGCCUGCGCGGAAGAUGUAACGGGGCUAAACCAUGCACCGAAGCUGCGGCAGCGACGCUUAUGCGUUGUUGGGUAGGGGAGCGUUCUGUAAGCCUGUGAAGGUGUGCUGUGAGGCAUGCUGGAGGUAUCAGAAGUGCGAAUGCUGACAUAAGUAACGAUAAAGCGGGUGAAAAGCCCGCUCGCCGGAAGACCAAGGGUUCCUGUCCAACGUUAAUCGGGGCAGGGUGAGUCGACCCCUAAGGCGAGGCCGAAAGGCGUAGUCGAUGGGAAACAGGUUAAUAUUCCUGUACUUGGUGUUACUGCGAAGGGGGGACGGAGAAGGCUAUGUUGGCCGGGCGACGGUUGUCCCGGUUUAAGCGUGUAGGCUGGUUUUCCAGGCAAAUCCGGAAAAUCAAGGCUGAGGUGUGAUGACGAGGCACUACGGUGCUGAAGCAACAAAUGCCCUGCUUCCAGGAAAAGCCUCUAAGCAUCAGGUAACAUCAAAUCGUACCCCAAACCGACACAGGUGGUCAGGUAGAGAAUACCAAGGCGCUUGAGAGAACUCGGGUGAAGGAACUAGGCAAAAUGGUGCCGUAACUUCGGGAGAAGGCACGCUGAUAUGUAGGUGAAGUCCCUUGCGGAUGGAGCUGAAAUCAGUCGAAGAUACCAGCUGGCUGCAACUGUUUAUUAAAAACACAGCACUGUGCAAACACGAAAGUGGACGUAUACGGUGUGACGCCUGCCCGGUGCCGGAAGGUUAAUUGAUGGGGUCAGCGCAAGCGAAGCUCUUGAUCGAAGCCCCGGUAAACGGCGGCCGUAACUAUAACGGUCCUAAGGUAGCGAAAUUCCUUGUCGGGUAAGUUCCGACCUGCACGAAUGGCGUAAUGAUGGCCAGGCUGUCUCCACCCGAGACUCAGUGAAAUUGAACUCGCUGUGAAGAUGCAGUGUACCCGCGGCAAGACGGAAAGACCCCGUGAACCUUUACUAUAGCUUGACACUGAACAUUGAGCCUUGAUGUGUAGGAUAGGUGGGAGGCUUUGAAGUGUGGACGCCAGUCUGCAUGGAGCCGACCUUGAAAUACCACCCUUUAAUGUUUGAUGUUCUAACGUUGGCCCCUAAUCGGGGUUGCGGACAGUGUCUGGUGGGUAGUUUGACUGGGGCGGUCUCCUCCUAAAGAGUAACGGAGGAGCACGAAGGUUGGCUAAUCCUGGUCGGACAUCAGGAGGUUAGUGCAAUGGCAUAAGCCAGCUUGACUGCGAGCGUGACGGCGCGAGCAGGUGCGAAAGCAGGUCAUAGUGAUCCGGUGGUUCUGAAUGGAAGGGCCAUCGCUCAACGGAUAAAAGGUACUCCGGGGAUAACAGGCUGAUACCGCCCAAGAGUUCAUAUCGACGGCGGUGUUUGGCACCUCGAUGUCGGCUCAUCACAUCCUGGGGCUGAAGUAGGUCCCAAGGGUAUGGCUGUUCGCCAUUUAAAGUGGUACGCGAGCUGGGUUUAGAACGUCGUGAGACAGUUCGGUCCCUAUCUGCCGUGGGCGCUGGAGAACUGAGGGGGGCUGCUCCUAGUACGAGAGGACCGGAGUGGACGCAUCACUGGUGUUCGGGUUGUCAUGCCAAUGGCACUGCCCGGUAGCUAAAUGCGGAAGAGAUAAGUGCUGAAAGCAUCUAAGCACGAAACUUGCCCCGAGAUGAGUUCUCCCUGACCCUUUAAGGGUCCUGAAGGAACGUUGAAGACGACGACGUUGAUAGGCCGGGUGUGUAAGCGCAGCGAUGCGUUGAGCUAACCGGUACUAAUGAACCGUGAGGCUUAACCUU